RNAcentral lists this long non-coding RNA (213 nucleotides) under Lonchura striata (white-rumped munia). RNAcentral describes it as "domestica (Bengalese finch) lncRNA (ENSLSDG00000013548.1)". Lineage: Eukaryota; Metazoa; Chordata; Aves; Passeriformes; Estrildidae. The record is from RNAcentral.
AUCAGAACAGGAUAACCAGAAGGCCACAGGUUUCCUUGCCUGGAUUUUACAGCAGUAUUGUGAAGUUUCUGUUGAUAUUUUAGGAAAUGGUCAUCUCCAUCUGCCGAGGGAUAGGUGUGCAAAUCAAUGAAAAUUCAAAGAAGUACCCAUGAGGAAAAUUACAGACUUACCAUGAUUUACUCCAUUGGCAUAUGCUCUGAAUGGAACUGGUUA